ACACGUAAGGGGCGAGCGUUGUUCGGAAUUAUUGGGCGUAAAGGGCGCGUAGGCGGUUUUGUAAGCUUGAUGUGAAAUCCUAGGGCUUAACCCUGGAACUGCAUUGGGAACUGCAAGACUUGAAUCAUGGAAGGGAAACUAGAAUUCCAGGUGUAGGGGUGAAAUCUGUAGAUAUCUGGAAGAAUACCGGUGGCGAAGGCGAGUUUCUGGCCAAUGAUUGACGCUGAGGCGCGAAAGUGCGGGGAGCAAACAGGAUUAGAUACCCUGGUAGUCCGCACCAUAAACGAUGUACACUAGGUGUUGGGCCGAGCGGCUCAGUGCCGAAGCUAACGUGAUAAGUGUACCGCCUGGGGAGUAUGCCCGCAAGGGUGAA
Molecule: ribosomal RNA, 373 nt
Filed under: uncultured bacterium
Lineage: Bacteria
Description: bacterial SSU rRNA
Rfam family: Bacterial small subunit ribosomal RNA
Source: RNAcentral